AGCUCCAAUAGCGUAUAUUAAAGUUGUUGCAGUUAAAAAGCUCGUAGUUGGAUCUCGGGUGCAGGCUGGCGGUCCGCCUCGCGGCGGGUUACUGCCACGUUUCCUGCUCCUCACCUCCCGGGUUGGAAGGUCUCUGAACUUGUCCCCGUAGUGCUCUUUACUGAGUCGCUCGGGGUGGCCGGAACGUUUACUUUGAAAAAAUUAGAGUGUUCAAAGCAGGCGCGUCGCCUGAAUACUGUUGCAUGGAAUAAUAGAAUAGGACCUCGGUUCUAUUUUGUUGGUUUUCGGAAGUCGAGGUAAUGAUUAAUAGGGACGGCCGGGGGCAUUUGUAUUGCGGCGUUAGAGGUGAAAUUCUUGGAUCGUCGCAAGACAAACUACAGCGAAGGCGUUUGCCAAGAAUGUCUUCA
RNAcentral lists this ribosomal RNA (407 nucleotides) under marine Metazoa environmental sample. RNAcentral's name for it is "SSU rRNA". It matches the Rfam family "Eukaryotic small subunit ribosomal RNA", at positions 587 to 972 of the family's 1831-position model. Lineage: Eukaryota; Metazoa. The record is from RNAcentral.